This is a non-coding RNA of Phalacrocorax carbo (great cormorant), 10429 nucleotides long. The record is from RefSeq and is a predicted model, not a curated record. Lineage: Eukaryota; Metazoa; Chordata; Aves; Suliformes; Phalacrocoracidae.
UGGAAUUGUGAGAUUAUCAGAGAUGGAGCAACUUCCUGGAACAUACACCUACCCACCAUACGCAGUUAUACACAAAAAUAGUAAAGCACAGUUUUUAAAGCUUUUGUGCUUAUCAGCUUGUCAGAACUAAAUAAGAGCAAUUAUCCAAGGAAUAAACAUUUGUACUGAUCACACACAUACGAAUCUUGGCUCUUUCGUGCCUGCAUAUGACCUGGACUACUCACAGUGUCAAAUUCAUACCAUUAAUUCAGAUUUUUACCUACAGUAAAAUUGCUUUAAUAUGAGAGGUUAUUCACAGGCAUAAAAUGUCUUCCUUUUCAUUUUAAUGAAAGGUGUAUUUAUGUAUGACUAGGAGUUCUUAGCAUGGUUUAGUUUCAGCUCUUUUGCAUUUCUCACAAAUUAUUUUCUGUUGUUCUGAUAACAUCAUUUGACAAACAGGUUUAUUGCAUUCAUUCCACAUACCUUUAGUGGUAUUUUAAAACAUUACUAAUGCUUAAUUUGUAAAUCAUGUUGUCCUCUGUGUAAUUCAGUCAUAAGAAGAAGCAGGUACAUAGGAGUACGUAAAAUCUCAAAACUGAUUGAAAUAAGUAGUCUCCCCAAAUACAGCAUUUUAAUUUGAAACCUGUGUUUCUGUUAAUAUAAUUGAAAUUAAUCAAGCUUUUCAAAGACAAUAAACACUAAAAGAAGAAAUGAAAAAUUGAAGUUACCUUAAUAAGUGUUUCAAGAUUUUCUUGAUAAACUGAGGUCUCAGCCUUGUGGGAGUAUUAUGUACUUGAAAAAGUUGAGUAACCCAUCACACAGGAUGAAGUUAUCUCAUUUAAAAUUAAAUCUGAAGUGUAAAUGUGUCUGUCAUUUCAGAUAAUCUGAGAAUAAUAGACAAUUAUUUAAGGUAGAAGUUGUGUAUCUGCAUCACUGUGUAGUUGCUGAUCCAACCAAAUGCUGUAAAAAUAUCGAUAAUACGCACUGCCUGGUAUCCUACUAGAGUAAUCAAGAAGCUGAACUGACUUCAAACUAUUAAUCAGGUCCAUGAGUAUAUUUUUAUUCAACUAUUUUUAUAUUUAAGAGAGACAUUAAAUGUUUCCCUUUAGUCAGUGUUUCAGCUUUUUAAAAAAUACAUCCUGCUUUGCACUGCAAGCAGACAGUUAAGCAAAAUGAUCUACUGUCCUUCCCGUGUCCUGUCUAUGUAACAAUACUGUUCUACAUCUGUUUACUGGCCACUUUUACUUAUGUAGCAACUUAGGGAAAGAACAGACGUCACAGUGCUGGACAGCCCUGUUCAAGGUUAUGACAGAAAAAAAAAUCUAGGAAGAGUGUAAGAAAUUAUUCCUACUCUGUUUAAAUUAUUAAGUUUUAUAUAAAAUUUCAGACUCUUUUACUUGGUAAGUUGGAGAACCACUUUAAGUUACAGUUCACUGAAUAAAUUCACUAUAUUCAAAUCUACAGUGCAGAUUGCCGGUUUUGCAGCAGAUGGGCAGUAGUUUAACACUGCUGCACCUCAAAUAGGAACGCAAAUGUUGAUUCCUAUCAAAAAAACUAGAGAAGGAAAAUAAUCUUUCUGUAAUAACCAAAGACAAAAGGCUAAACAAGAUUUUGUUUUUUCCCAGUAGUGAUGUUGGUUUAUCAUAGCUGAGUUUUUAAGGAAAAUAAUGGCUUGAAUUUUGUGGUUUUGAAAGGAAUGCAGAGAGUGCUCUCUUGCUUGUUAUUUCCACAGCCUACCAUACUAGCGGGGAAUAAUUCAUUUUACAGAUAAUUGGUGUUUGAAGCUCCAGGUUAAAAUAAAGGAAGUUCAACAACUGGAGAACCUGUGGUGAUGGAGACAACCCCCAAGAGACACGUGGAGGAAGGCUGGGUGGGCAGAGUUGGCCUGGGACAGCAGGCUGCCGGAGGCUUGCUCGCUUGCCCUGAGAAGGGGGUGUGACACUGUGUGAAUACACACAGCCCGGGAAAGAAACCCAAGGAAUUAGACGUAUCAGCACAGCUACAGAGCUGUGACCUCUUUGGGAUCACAGGGACAGGGUGGCAUAGCUCAUGACGAGUGCUGUGAUGGAAGGAUACAAGCUCUUUUGGAAAAGCGGACAGGGAACUGAGUGGAAGUUGUGUUCUACACCAACAAUCAUCUCUUUGCCUGGAUCCUAUUUGGUUGUAUUUGCUGAACACUUCUGUAGUGCCCAGGAACUGGAGUUUUACUGUUGACUGGAGUAGUAAGACUGAUGGAGGGUUGUCACAAAAGCUCACCAUGAGGAAGGAGGUUGUCUCUGGGCCGAGAGACGACUCGCUGGCAGAAUGACAGUGUUUCAGCUCUGAUUUGAAGAACCUCCUCUUACUAAAGAAGUACAGUGGGUCCCUAUGUACUGCAUGUUUGAGGUUAUGUUGUACAAGUGUGCGUGACAGGAGUAUAAAAGAAACUUUGGAGAUUGCGUGUAGUUCAGUGGUUUUGCGUGCAGUAUGUUAUAUAUAUUUGUGGCAAACUGAAAACAUGGCUGUAUUUAUAUAAGGUUUACUUGGUGUUAGGCUAAAUAGAAGCGUCACAAAUUGAAUGAAAGUACUGUAAGCAAAAAAAAAACCCAAAUCCCGUUGACUCAGUGUUUGCUCUGUGAAAUCGUUUAUUCGGUUAACUGAAGGCCUAAAGGCCAUUCUGGGUAAUGGCAUGUUAUCUAAUUAAUACAAUUAGAAAAAGUAGUGCCUUUCAGCCUGGAAUAGUAAAACUGCCCCCUCCACAUACACACUUAAAAACCUAACCUAAAACUAACAAAGCCAAAAAACUGGGAGGAAGAAAAGAGAGGGAAAAUCUAUUAACUAGUUUGUAUUGGGACUCCUUAAGUUGAUUUCCAUAUUAAAUUUGGAAUUGUCCCUUUUAUGCGGAAAAUCUGCAUUGAGCUUGUAGCCCAGAGAGGGGGUUGAGCUGUAGCAUUUGGAUCUGGAACUGGUGGUGGUCUAGAUCCAUGCUUACAUCUGAACUGCUUGAACAAGAGACUUCAGUAAGAGUUGAGAGUGUGAGUACAUUAUGGCAGCCCUUGCUGAGGUCCUGGGGUGUCAUGCCUCCCGCAUUCUUGCUAGAGGUUUAUGAUUCUCCCAGAGCGUGCAAAUGGAUCUGCCAGCGCUCAGGAGCGGCUACAGUAUAGUCGUGCUUGUUCCAGCAAAGAAGAUAGUCAGCUCUGAAACACCACCAUGCACUGGUUUUGCCCUGUGGCUUUCUUGUUUUUCAGUGGAAAGUAAUUGAGUAGCCCUAUGGUAAUACAUUGCUAGCAAUGUGUCAGCAUUCUGUUAAGUUUUGUUAUAGAAGAGUUUAUGGAAACAUUGUGGUUUCACUCCAUUGGGCUUUUAAGAGAGAUAAGCAUAUAACUGCUAAUAAGCAUUGUGAUAGUUGUGGAUGGUUUUAUGCUGCAUUGUUGAUUUGGUUUGUUUCUCCUUUGCAGCCAUACCCGUAGUUGAAAUAAGAAUUACAUUUGUUAAUUCACAGAUUAUAUAAAAUGUAUCCAGUGAUGAUAGUUGGUCAUUAGUAACUAGGGAAAAUAGACACAGAGUUUGAAGUGAUCAGGUCAAAGUCAUAGAGUGAAAAAAACUCAUCAUUUUUAUAGCUAUUGUGCCUUUACAUUUGCAGAUUACUUCUUACUGCAAUUUAUUGAUCAGUAUAUGCCAACUGAGACUUUCCUCUUGGCAUUCCCCAGGUUAAGAGACAGUUAAGAGGCAUUUGUGGCGGUUUUGCUCCAUCAGCCUAGCAUAAAGGUCUUGUGCUGAGGUGAGGCUGUAACCCCAGAUACUUGGAAAUUGCAUUUCUAAGCACUGGUGGGUUUGUGGAUACAUACAGCUUCUGAGAGGAGCUUUGAGAAGGUUACGAGCUGAAGUCAGUCUAUGGCAUCUGUGCCUUGUGACAGAAGAGGGCCGUGGGCAGGGCUGUCAUUGACAGGACUGUGCAAGCACCUUCUCAGCCUUUGGCAGAACUUCUGAGUUUCUUGGAGAAGCAUCUGUGUUUCAAGGAAUUAAUCCAAGCAAACAUGAAGUUUUCUGAAGAGGGAAAAGCAUACCUGACAUGGGUUCAAAGCAGUGAAUAGAGUUUGUAAGAGAGACAUCCUACUUCAGGAAAGGUUUACUGGUUUCUGUCUGGGCAGGAAUUAGGAAAAGCAGCUUGAGGCCCUAACUAAUUAUCGUGGAUAUCGAAAACCAACAAACCAAAAAAUACCCUCUUCAUAAAACUAUUGUCUGCUUUAAGAUGAACUUCAGCUCAGAAAGUUUGUCUAUAGAGUGUUCUUUAUGGAAGGCAAACAAUGUGAAUGUGUAUGUGCAUAAUACAUACAAACAUGAUGACUGGUAGUAUUGUCCAUCUGAUGUGCCUACACAAGUCUCCUCUCCCUUCCUAUUCUAGGAAUCGUACUGUUUAUGCAGUAAUUUUCACAGUGUGAUGAGACCUUCUUUGUAGGAAAACCCGUUUAGUUAUUUUGUUUACUUUAGAAUAAUUUAAAGGUCGAGAAACAGUUUUAAAUACAGUUUUUAAGAAACACAAUUGGAUUUACAGUCAUCACCGAGCUUAUAAAACAAAGCUUUAUAGUUAAGAUGCCACCUGGGAACUAUAUACAAAGACUAUGCUAAAAGUAUGAGAAAUACAGAUUUAUAUGAACUUACAUAUGUUAUGUUUUCUUAAAAAAAGUAUUAUACUUUUCUAUUGCAAUCAGAACUCACAAUGAGAACACACAAAAUUUGGAGGAACUGGAAGCAUCUGUGCACAAAGUUUCAAAUAAUAUUAUCAAUACUCAAAAGUCCACCAGAGAAAACAGUGUAUCUAACUGAAGAAUGAAAUUAAUAUAGCUACCCACUUGUGCUCUUUAACUGAAAGAAAAAAACCCCAAUUGUCUAAACGUGCAUAAUCUCUUGUUUGAGAUCUGGAACCAAAAGGGAAAAAAGCUUAUAAAACUGAAACACAAGUGUUACAUCAUAAGAACUCUUUACAAGAAGCUUACAACACAGUUUAGUAUCUACACACUCUCUUUAAUAAAUGGAAUUUCAUUUUAUUAUUUACAGACUUCAAUGCUGUUCUCAACUCAUCCAUGUCUUUCUAAAAGACUCUGCUUAUGUAAAUAAGGAUUAGUUGGCAAAGUUAAUUAUGGUAAAGGAAAAAUGAAUGUUAAACUUGGGAUGAAAAUGGUGUCUAGAGAAUAUCUGUUUGCUGCCUUGUACUCGCAGAGGUACCAUGACAAGAUGCUAAGGCAGUUUUGAUUAAGACCUUGGGUAUUCCCAAAAGGUCUUUUCUGGAGGUUGCUGUACAUGGUAGAGAGAUACAAACUAACUUCAGAAACAUUAAACUGGCUACCAGGGGAGGGAUAACUGCAGUGGCACAAAAUCAUCUGCAUUUCCAAGGAAGGUGUAAUAAAGGAACAAAACAAGGUGCCCAGCUCUACACAGUGUUCCCUUAUCACAUGGGUUGUCAGAUCUGUUCCACACAGGAAGCUUGUUUUCUAAACAGUUGCUUUGCCCUUAGAGAUAGCCGUUAAGGUGUCACGUGCUUAAGAGUUGCUGUUCAUUUCAACAGGAAAUAGGAAUGAACUGGAGUUUUGGGGUGAACAGAACUACUACUGUCCAGUUGUUGCCUACUAGUAUUUCAGAGGCGUUUCAGUGGGCUUAAUCAGGAAGUCAAGUUAUUAACUUAAUUUCACAUCAGAAGAGGUAGUGCAGUUGCUGUGAUCUUGCAAGAAGACACAGAGCUACGUUUUCCAAGGUUGCACACUUCGAUGAUUAAGCCGUAAACCCUUGCAUGUUUUGGCUCCACUUCAGGUAUACCUACAGGCUUUCCUGUUGUGGUCUUUUGGACUCAAGUGACCUGUGCAAAGUACAGCUGAGAAGGAGUGCAGGGGUGUACAAGGCUCUUACUGUGCUGUGUGCAUGUAAUCACUGCAAGUACCCACUGCAGGAACCUCCUGGCAUCUCAACAGGUGCUUCAUCUGAUUAAGGAUGUAUUCAGGACUGCACUUCAUUAGUAAGGUUUCCAGAAGUCAUUGAAGGCAAAUUAGUUAUCGCCAUUCAUACACAUGACCUAAUGACACAAAUGUGCUCUCUGAGAUGGGUUCUUAUGUGGCUGUGGGGAGGGCACUAGUCAAUCACACUUACAUAUGUGUGGUUAAAAGAGGCAUGUCUAGCCUUUGUGCAAAGCAUUUUAUAUAUGAGUAGUUAGAAGAAUUAGAAAUAUAUUUUCUAUCAAAAAAUAGGUGAUUAAUCUAUUUUAGAGGUGCAGACUAUUUAAACCUGGUGUAAUCGAAAUAGGAUCUUUUUAAAAUUCUUUUUGAAUGUGUUUGAAAAGUCAUGUUUGCAGAGUGUGUUCUGAUCCCAACAACUGUGGUGUAGACCAGAGAAUUGGUGAAAAGCUCCUCAGGUUAUCAUUCAAUUUAUGCACUGAAAGGCAAACCCUAUUAAGUAUGUCAUUCUUGAUGGAUGUGUGUGUUUAACCUUCAAAGGUGGAGAUCCCUCAGGGAAUCUACUGCAGUGCUGUAUUAGCCUUACAACUAGCUUCCCCAAAAAAUUAACAUGAUUCUUCCUUGCUAUAUUUUAAGCCUGUUAUUGUUGCUGUUGUCUGCCACUCAUGUGAAGUACAGAUGUUUGUUUUUCUCAUUCCAGAGCUAUACAGGUAUCUAAAACCUGCUGUCCUCUUCCCAGACUGCUUUUUCUUCUUCAGAUUAAACUUUAACAGUCUUUUUAAUCUUUUGUCGUAAGCCAUACCUUCCCAUACUCCAGUUAUUGCUUCUUUAUCCUGCUUAGUGGCCCACAUCUUCAAGGUAAGAUGUGGAAGGUCAUGUCCAAAACUGGGAGAGGUGCUUCAGCUGAAACAAUGCCAGUGCUAAGUGAAGUGGAAGGAUUAAAUUGUUCACUGCUUAGGCCAUCCUGCUUCCUGUACUCUCUGGUUUGCGGGAACUCUCUGGGAGAGGGAUUCUCUGGAUUCCCACACAGCAGAAUCAAGAAUCUGGAAUUAUUUAAUGUCACUUGAAAUUAACAACGAAUUGUGAGACACUGCCUUGCUAUAACUUAGUGUCGUUUUCAGUGGAUUACUUGGUGUGGAGUGAGUGCCAUCUGGAGGUUAGGAAACAUGGAGCUUUGUGUGCUUUCAUGCCGAAAAAGAAAAUGCCCAUGCUUUAUAAAUGAAAUGUUCCUACACGAAUAGGAGGUUGAGCCUGACAGGUACUGGACAUCUGCCACUCAGUAUAGAGUCUGUGACCCAUAGGAGGAGUAAGCUUGCUCAUUAUGACCCCAGCUGCUCAUUAUGUCUCAGACUAAGGCAUGCAAGUGUAAUGACUUUUCAGUAUUACACAAUCACCAAUGAAUACAUAGCCUCUGAGUGGCCUGUGCAGUCUUUGGAAGAAGCUAUGGACAGCACAGGAAUAAGGAAAGGCUUGAUCUGCUCUCUCCCUCUUUCAGAUAUUUGAAGACAAACCAGUUCCUGGUGCAGUUUUCUGCUCACAGGAGAGAGUAGAAAGCAUUUUAGCUGAACAAGAUGAUGUCUUUUUUAAAGAGUAGGUUGCUAUUUGGUGUGUCAGAACACAGUUGUCCAUCAAAAUUCAAGUGUGCACAGAAGGAAAUCAGUCCUCCUCACCUAAGCAGAUUGCAUGGUGUGGUCUUCCUUCUUUAGGUAGCUUAGCUUUAUCUUGAAAGCUGUAAUCCUGUAGUUCUCACUGUGUUGAGGAAGCUGGGAGGAGAACUGCUUGGUGCCAUGACUUCAGUAAGUGGGAUUUGGCUCUUCUUUCUACAGUGGUUUUGGGUUUGUUUUUUGUUUUGUAUUGUUUUGUUUUGGUUUGGUUUUUUUUCCCCAGAGACCACUUGGAUGUUGACAGUGAUCACACUGUUCCACACCACCUCUUGUGCUUUUGAACUGCCUUCGGCUGCUGAAGUUUUUGUAAUGAAGAUGUAUUAGUGAAGAGGCUUUAGCCUCCACAGAUUCUCUCCAGAUCCUAUCCUGUUGAACCUGGUCCUGCUGCAGUGCUGCCUGCUUGUCUGCCCAGGCCCGAGCAGCCGGUUGUGCAAUGACAGGUCUUCUGGAUUGGGUGCUGCUGAGAGACACAGAUGGAGCUGAGGCUGGUUGCCGCAGAGGUGUGGUUGCUGGUUGCCAAGACCUAACCAAGUAACAAGCUUCUUGAAGCCUGAGAAGUUCUCAUUCAUUGCACUGGACGAUGGGGACUUCAGAGACUUAUUCCAGAACACUGAAAAACUUAAUGGAAAUUGCUUGGUUAAAUGUGAGAAACGUUAGAGACGGGAAAUAAUAACAGGAGAUUAAUGUGUUGCUGCUUUGGUUGGAAGUGCAUGUUGGUCCAGGAUGGGUGUUGUCAAAGUCAGUGAGACUGAUCUGAUUUUCCCAUGUGGUCCUGCUUUCAGGAAUAAGGUCUGAAAUCCUUUUUAGCCCAUUUGUGUUUCCCAGAUUUCUCCUUUAUAUCCAGGUCUUCUACAGUAUACAUCCAGUGUUGGUUUGCACUUUACAACACAGUACUGUGUUGGGAUACUUUCCUACAAAAGUUAUGUCUCCUAAACCUUAAGGACAGUGUUGCCAAAUGUUCAUGCCAUGUUUUGUACAGCUCAGACUGUGGAAGAGGGAGCUAUAAGGGUUUCUGGACUCUCCCACUCCUAGAUCUGCUGCUGAAUUUAGGAGAAGAUGCAUGGUAUGCCUGCCUGUGUCUCAACAAGCUCACCUGUAAAAGAAGAAAGAUCACAGCUAUAUCACAUUGUGAAGAGCAAAUUUCUGAGAGGUGUGACAGUGAUUCAAUGAACAGCAAUUUUCAUGUAAGAAAGUUUGUGUUUGUGAGAUGUUGUAGAGAUUUGAGAAACAUACACAUUUAAAAACACAAGUGCACUGUAUAAGUCACAUGUGAAUAAGAGGCAGGAGCAAGAUCAUCAGCUGGAGGAGAGGGCAGCUCUCCAGAGACCAGAGCAGAUCACCACUUGGAAGAUAUCUGCCAUUUCAUGAAUGGGACAGAGAUCCUCAUGUAAAUCUUUGGUAUGAGCAGUGCUGCCUGCCUUGAAUAGUGACAUUUGCGUUGUCAUUAUCAUCUUCCUCAAAUGAAUAAAGAUCAGUCAAGUCAGUCAAGAUUGCAGACUGGAAGAAGGGUCAUGGCAAUGGUUAGCAGGGCGGGGUGUUAGGUGAUUGGUCAGAGGAUGCUGGGCACCCAGCAGAGAAGUGAUGGAUGGCAGAGCAUUACUGCAGUGCUUUCUCACUCACCCUGGGCGUUAACCAGCAAGGGCCCUAGAAAGCUUGGAGGUGAGAGAUCCAAGCUAUGGCUUGGUCUGGCAGGAGCAGAGUGCCUUGGGUUGCUGUGUGCAGCCAAAAUGGAAACAAACCCUGCAAACUACCAGUUUGGAGUAAAACUCCUUUUAAAUGAUUAUGCAGCUGCUUGAUUAAAGGCCUCAUGUAUUAAGUUUUGCUGUAGCUUUCAUUAAAAAAUAUCAACUUCUUUCUCAUCUUAAUGCAGUUCUGCUGAGAGAGCCUGGCAAGUUGAGUGUCUGUUGUGUCGGCAGCCUACAAAUGCCACCGCGGGAAUGUCUGCUUCCGGUGACACAGAGUCUGACACUUCAAAAUGAAAUCAAAGCUGUAAUGCAGACUGUAAGAAAUCUGUUGUGGAUUUUUUUCGUUCCUUUCUUUUAAUAUAAAUUCUAAUGUUACAAAAUAUGUUAGCUACUGGUAUGCAGUUUGCUUUAUUUGAAACAAAAAUGACUUAUUUGAAAAAAUAUUAUUUACCUGAAAAAAAUAUUAAGCAGCAACUAUUCCAUAGAAUAUGCAAGCCUGUUACAUUAAAGUCGUCUUCUUAAACCUACCACCUGAGCAAGGUGAUGGGAUUUCAGGGAGGGAGCAUUGCAGGGCUGGUGUGUGAGUAAGGUUGUUUGCAAGUAUCUGUUUUGAGGAGAAAGAGCUAUAAAUAUAAGAAGUGUUCCUCACUGGCUGAAGAAUGUUUUCUGUGGUAUUUCUCAUAAUUUUCGUCUUACAGGCUAGAUGCUGUCAAGAAGUGCAAUAUCACUUGGACAACCAAAGUUGUCCUCAUUAGUCAGAGUUGUUCAAGUCACAUCCUCACCAUGACAUGGAGCUUUGGUAACUGCAUAGUGGAGCUUGGCUUUAUUCUGUUCAUCUGCUGUUUUCUUGGACAGUUCAUUAACAUGUCUAAGAGAAUUUAACUGUAUAAAGUGAUUAAGUACUUCUGAAAAGGCUGUGCUUCAUACUGCUUCAGACCUAAGGCAUCAGUUUGACCUCUGAAGUCUGGCGUAGCCCUCCGUUUCUAUGCUCCUGUGGUAUGCAUCUGUUAACAGUAUCAGCUUACAGAUCACUUUAUAACAGCUGAAGAGAAACUGCUUCACAGAUACUACAGAGAUUCAGUUUUCUCUCUCUUCUUCCGGGGGCACUGUAGUAUUUACAGAAGCAUUUUAUCCUGUGAAAUAAAAUAUUCCAGGUGUGUAUCACUCUAUAUUUCAA